This 450-nucleotide ribosomal RNA is filed under the name uncultured bacterium. Its description in RNAcentral is "partial 16S ribosomal RNA". It matches the Rfam family "Bacterial small subunit ribosomal RNA", at positions 354 to 796 of the family's 1533-position model. The record is from RNAcentral.
GUGGGGAAUUUUGGACAAUGGGCGCAAGCCUGAUCCAGCAAUGCCGCGUGUGUGAAGAAGGCCUUCGGGUUGUAAAGCACUUUUGGCAGGAAAGAAAUAGUGCGUGCUAAUACCAUGCGCGAAUGACGGUACCUGCAGAAUAAGCACCGGCUAACUACGUGCCAGCAGCCGCGGUAAGACGUAGGGUGCAAGCGUUAAUCGGAAUUACUGGGCGUAAAGCGUGCGCAGGCGGUUUUGUAAGACAGGUGUGAAAUCCCCGGGCUCUGCCUGGGAACUGCACUUGUGACUGCAAGGCUAGAGUGUGUCAGAGGGAGGUGGAAUUCCGCGUGUAGCAGUGAAAUGCGUAGAGAUGCGGAGGAACACCGAUGGCGAAGGCAGCCUCCUGGGAUAACACUGACGCUCAGGCACGAAAGCGUGGGGAGCAAACAGGAUUAGAUACCCGAGUAGUCC